CAAUGUCCAAAAGGAAAAUGCAAGAGAAGAUUGUGGAUUUAAUUUUCCUGAAGCAAUGGAAUAGCUGAGAAAGUGGAAGAUCACAGAACAUGUUAUUUGGAUUUCUUCAAAUAAAUAUCACAUUCAAAAAUGUGGUAUAUCACAAUUGAUAUAUCAGCAAAUGAAAUACCUCCAAAGAGUAAGUCUCAAAUAAUAAACACGGUGUUGAGAACUCCAUCAAUCACUUUUAAGCUGUGCUGCGACGCCUCGCUCUCCCUGGGACCUCACGAUACCACUCUUGAGGGAAGAUACAAGAAGAGGCCCAGUCUCUCUCUGGAACGUGAAGAACAGGAUGGGAUCUAAGAUGUGCUAAGUAGCUCAAGUGUAACCAUCACCCUAUGCUUGAGUCACCCAUCUGAGAAUUCCCAGGGCAAUGCUCAGCAUCACGGGAAACCAAGAAAUACUCAAAACAUUCUCAAGAUCUGAAAAUGAAACCGAACAGAGUCCGAUUAUAAGUGAGGUGAAAGGAGUAGGAGCAGAGGACCUGGAAGAACCUGUGGCCCGUGAGCCCUCCUGAAGAGUCUGCAAUCAUCACUCCGUUUUCAUCCUGGGAGAGUGGCUUCUCCUGCCUGCUGGUUCAAGGAAUCUGGAGAUUUCCCUUCUUCCUAUAGCAAAGCCAGGCUUAAUAAACAUGUGCUAUUUUCUCUAGAAUCCUUAGGUGUUUGUGGUUAGAAGGUUUCAGGGUAGCCAGAACUGGCAUGUUGCUAGGUACAGAAUCCAUGCAGUUGAAUAUGUCUUAUAAUUAUCUACCAGCUUCUACUAAAAUAUCUCUACUGGGCUAGAACUAUAUAGG
RNAcentral lists this long non-coding RNA (832 nucleotides) under Equus asinus (donkey). RNAcentral describes it as "lncRNA (ENSEASG00005029683.1)". The record is from RNAcentral. Lineage: Eukaryota; Metazoa; Chordata; Mammalia; Perissodactyla; Equidae.